This 253-nucleotide ribosomal RNA is filed under the name uncultured bacterium. RNAcentral describes it as "partial 16S ribosomal RNA". It matches the Rfam family "Bacterial small subunit ribosomal RNA", at positions 524 to 776 of the family's 1533-position model. The record is from RNAcentral.
UACGUAGGGGGCAAGCGUUGUCCGGAAUCAUUGGGCGUAAAGAGCGUGUAGGCGGCCAGAUAGGUCCGUUGUGAAAACUGGAGGCUUAACCUCCAGCGGUCGAUGGAAACCAUUUGGCUAGAGUCCGGAAGAGGAGAGUGGAAUUCCUGGUGUAGCGGUGAAAUGCGCAGAUAUCAGGAAGAACACCCGUGGCGAAGGCGGCUCUCUGGGACGGUACUGACGCUGAGACGCGAAAGCGUGGGGAGCGAACAGG